Molecule: long non-coding RNA, 965 nt
Organism: Sphaeramia orbicularis (orbiculate cardinalfish)
Lineage: Eukaryota; Metazoa; Chordata; Actinopteri; Kurtiformes; Apogonidae
Exons: 2
Source: RefSeq, a predicted model, not a curated record
UUUUCUCCAAUAUCGUGCAGCCCUAACGUACAUAUGACCAUUAGUACACACUGAAACAAGCUGUGUGACGAGAAGUUGGAUUUGCAUGACUGCACAGUUAGUGGGUCAAGCAGGCCUAAUGCACAUGUAAACACACAGACACACACAGGAAGACAGCACUACAUGCACGGCUUUUAAGCUCCCAGAUGUUUGAAACAUGAGUCUUUUUAUGAGCAGCACAGGGAGCCUUUAGUGAGGUGUGUACGUGUUCUCCGAUGUGGUGUACAUGCACGUUCAAAAGUUCAACUUCAAAGAGUCACUUCAACUCUUAAUUGUAUGUGUGUGUGCACAUGAGGAAGGGCUGAUCACAUUCAAUAAAGCAUAUUUUCUGUCAUUCUGAAACCUUCUGCUGUCUUUGUGUGUCAGUUUCUCACACAUGAACACAGAUACAUUCCAAUAAAUGCAGAUUCGGUAACUUGCAGGCAGAACUGCUUUUACGUGUUUUGCAGAAAUAUCAAGAUUAGACUGAAAUCAUCUGAGAUUUGAUCAGCUCGUCAGAAUAAGUUGUAUAGAAAAGCUGAUACUGAUUAUUAGUUAUCAAGGAGAAGAUACUAAAUGUUUAGAUCUGAUUUGAAAUAAAACUGAAAAACUCAACUUUUUGAUUAAGUACAACACAAAGUUUUGUUGAAACAAUAUUAAGGCGCCUCUUAAAUCAAAUUAAGUAGAAUUCAGUUACAGUUCAACAAAAUGUAUUGUCUGUUUUCUUAGUGAACUGGAGGGAUUAUGAAUAACAGAGUAAAUAAAAGACUCCCAUCUCUGUGUUACUCCAAAUGUAUAAACCAUCAGAUAUGGGAUCACAGAGUGGUGACUGUUGUAUUCAAGCAGAUAUUUGAUUGCAUUUAUUUUAUUGCACAUAAAGGAGACAUUGUUUGGAAAUUCAUCAGGGCAGCAGACUUUGCUCUACUUUUGCAACCUCAUGACACAAA